Molecule: ribosomal RNA, 450 nt
Filed under: uncultured bacterium
Lineage: Bacteria
Description: partial 16S ribosomal RNA
Rfam family: Bacterial small subunit ribosomal RNA
Source: RNAcentral
GUGGGGAAUUUUGGACAAUGGGCGCAAGCCUGAUCCAGCAAUGCCGCGUGCAGGAAGAAGGCCUUCGGGUUGUAAACUGCUUUUGUACGGAACGAAACGGUCCGGGUUAAUACCCUGGGCUAAUGACGGUACCGUAAGAAUAAGCACCGGCUAACUACGUGCCAGCAGCCGCGGUAAUACGUAGGGUGCAAGCGUUAAUCGGAAUUACUGGGCGUAAAGCGUGCGCAGGCGGUUUUGUAAGACAGGCGUGAAAUCCCCGGGCUCAACCUGGGAAUUGCGCUUGUGACUGCAAGGCUGGAGUGCGGCAGAGGGGGAUGGAAUUCCGCGUGUAGCAGUGAAAUGCGUAGAUACGCGGAGGAACACCGAUGGCGAAGGCAAUCCCCUGGGCCUGCACUGACGCUCAUGCACGAAAGCGUGGGGAGCAAACAGGAUUAGAUACCCGUGUAGUCC